This is a long non-coding RNA of Juglans microcarpa x Juglans regia, 901 nucleotides long. RefSeq lists it as uncharacterized. Lineage: Eukaryota; Viridiplantae; Streptophyta; Magnoliopsida; Fagales; Juglandaceae. The transcript has 2 exons. The record is from RefSeq and is a predicted model, not a curated record.
AGGUUUCCACAUGCUGCCUCCAUGCUCAAUCGCCAUGAUAAGCUCCUACCUCGGCCUCCCUCUCUCUCUCUAUCUCUCUCCUCUUUGUCCAUUUCUCUGUUUUCUUUCUCUCAAAUCCGCGUUUGUCACAAGCCAUCCCUGUUGCAUCCCAAACCCCUACACCGCUAGCAUGUGAUCAUCAAAAAUCCACCGCAUUGUCACCAUAACCAAGUCGAAUGGAAGUUCCAUGCUGUCAAGCCAAAUCAUACAUUGCACACCCCUACCCAUAAACUCAAGAUGGGUCAAGCUAGAUAGUAGGUAAACCACUAGACUUUACUAGUGUGGAGUUAACUUUUGGUUUGAUUAAAGGUUAGGAAUUUUCAUAUGAGUGUAUGCGUAGUGGCAUUUGUGGAUUUGUACAACUAGGCCAUUGUAAGGUUAAGGUCUUGGUUUAGCAAGCAUUGGGGAUUUUAGUAGUUGUUUGAUAAGGUUCAAAUGGUAUAUGGUCUGUAUAAAUGGUCGUGAUCUGUUUUCGUGGAGGUGCUAUUGAGUGAAUUUCAGACAGGGAGGAUGAGUUGUGAUUGGAUAUUUGUUAUGGGUUUGUUGAGUUGAAAGUAGAAAUUAGGUGUGAAUGCCUCAAAUGGGUAAGGUUUGGAAAGUUAUUUUUGUGGUUUGGAGUUGAGUAGUAAUAGGGUUAGAAGAAUUGGAACCAUGGAAUUAUCAUCGUGGAGUUAUGAAGUUGUGUCAUCUUAUUUUAGAUGUACUAGUUUAAUUUUAUUAAUUUAUAGUGUAUUAAUUAUAUUUAGGUGACAAACGUUAUUUACUAGCACUGUUGUGAGGAAAUUCAGAGAGAAGUUGAAAAGUUUAGGUAAGCAAUGCUCCUAUACCAGACUUUGUCUAAAAGAACUGAGAUUGAUUUUAU